Molecule: ribosomal RNA, 207 nt
Filed under: uncultured bacterium
Lineage: Bacteria
Description: partial 16S ribosomal RNA
Rfam family: Bacterial small subunit ribosomal RNA
Source: RNAcentral
CACGUAGGCGGAUAGUUAAGUUAGAGGUGAAAGCCCAGGGCUCAACCCUGGAACUGCCUUUAAUACUGGCUAUCUAGAGAUCGAGAGAGGUGAGUGGAAUUCCGAGUGUAGAGGUGAAAUUCGUAGAUAUUCGGAGGAACACCAGUGGCGAAGGCGGCUCACUGGCUCGAUACUGACGCUGAGGUGCGAAAGCGUGGGGAGCAAACA